This 282-nucleotide long non-coding RNA is filed under the name Vitis vinifera (wine grape). RNAcentral describes it as "long non-coding RNA (VVIN_LNC003189)". Lineage: Eukaryota; Viridiplantae; Streptophyta; Magnoliopsida; Vitales; Vitaceae. The record is from RNAcentral.
GCGGGGCAACCCCGGUCUGACUAUGCAGAGUGAACGGCAUGGCCUGUGGCGCUGACUGACUGGGUGGAGGAGGUGGUGGCACUGUAGGGUCAUACUGGGCGUCAUCCCGAGCCACUGGUGGUCUACCCUGCUGACCACCGAUCUCCUGCCUAAGGCUAGCCAAAGCCUCCUGGAUAGAAGCCAUGGCGGCCGUGAACUGAUCCACGGUAACAACCUGCUGAUCCAUACUCUGUCUCUCUGAAUAUCGGACUAAUCUCCCCUCAACUCUGACCCAGGAAGGUG